Molecule: ribosomal RNA, 744 nt
Filed under: uncultured bacterium
Lineage: Bacteria
Description: bacterial SSU rRNA
Rfam family: Bacterial small subunit ribosomal RNA
Source: RNAcentral
AGAGUUUGAUCAUGGCUCAGAGCGAACGCUGGCGGCAUGCUUAACACAUGCAAGUCGCACGGGAGGGCAACCUUCAGUGGCGGACGGGUGAGUAACGCGUGGGGAUCUGUCUCCGGGUGGGGGAUAACGAUGGGAAACUAUCGCUAAUACCGCAUGAAACCCGAGGGUCAAAGGCGCAAGUCGCCUGGAGAGGAACCCGCGUACGAUUAGCUUGUUGGCGGGGUAAAGGCCCACCAAGGCGACGAUCGUUAGCUGGUCUGAGAGGAUGAUCAGCCACACUGGGACUGAGACACGGCCCAGACUCCUACGGGAGGCAGCAGUGGGGAAUAUUGGACAAUGGGCGCAAGCCUGAUCCAGCAAUGCCGCGUGAGUGAAGAAGGUCUUCGGAUUGUAAAGCUCUUUCGACGGGGACGAUGAUGACGGUACCCGUAGAAGAAGCCCCGGCUAACUUCGUGCCAGCAGCCGCGGUAAUACGAAGGGGGCUAGCGUUGCUCGGAAUGACUGGGCGUAAAGGGCGCGUAGGCGGUUCGUACAGUCAGACGUGAAAUUCCCGGGCUCAACCUGGGGACUGCGUUUGAUACGUACGGGCUUGAGUUCGGAAGAGGGUCGUGGAAUUCCCAGUGUAGAGGUGAAAUUCGUAGAUAUUGGGAAGAACACCGGUGGCGAAGGCGGCGACCUGGUCCGAUACUGACGCUGAGGCGCGAAAGCGUGGGGAGCAAACAGGAUUAGAUACCCCCGUAGUCC